Long non-coding RNA from Sinocyclocheilus rhinocerous, 309 nucleotides. RefSeq lists it as uncharacterized. The transcript has 3 exons. Lineage: Eukaryota; Metazoa; Chordata; Actinopteri; Cypriniformes; Cyprinidae. The record is from RefSeq and is a predicted model, not a curated record.
GGAACGCAGGGAGUACAGACUGCAAGAAAGCAGGCAAAAUGACGUUCUGUGGAGGGAGGUGGUGUCACUGAGGCAGAAUCACACACAGCAGCAGAAAGUCAUAAACAAGAGCUGCUCCUGAACCUCAGCCGCCUCUCAGACACCCCAAAGCACAGUGGCUGAAACAACUAAUCUCUUUUUUAUUCAUGGCGAUGCAAAAGUUGGAGCAACACAUAAUAUCAGCGCCGGACUGCUGAACACGAGAGUUCUGGACAUGUUUUGAAUGUGCUGUCGCUGGAGAUUUUAACACAGACGUUUUCCUUCUCUGGU